GCAAGUCAGGGGCAGCACAAGGAGCAAUCUGAGGUGGCGACCGGCGCACGGGUGAGUAACACGUAUGCGAACCCUGGCCCUGGUAAAGCGGGGGAAUAACCCGUUGAAAGACGGACUAAUACCGCAUAAUACUAAAUUACUGCAUGGUAAUUUAUUUAAACAUUUAUGGCUUACAGAUGGGCAUGCGCAUGAUUAGCUAGUUGGAGAGGUAACGGCUCCCCAAGGCAACGAUCAUUAGGGGUUCUGAGAGGAAGGUCCCCCACACUGGUACUGAGACACGGACCAGACUCCUACGGGAGGCAGCAGUGAGGAAUAUUGGUCAAUGGACGAGAGUCUGAACCAGCCAAGUCGCGUGCAGGAAGAAUGUCCUAAUGGAUUGUAAACUGCUUUUGCAGGGGAAUAAAGUGCAUCACGUGUGAUGUUUUGUAUGUACUCUGCGAAUAAGGAUCGGCUAACUCUGUGCCAGCCGCCGC
Molecule: ribosomal RNA, 473 nt
Filed under: uncultured bacterium
Lineage: Bacteria
Description: bacterial SSU rRNA
Rfam family: Bacterial small subunit ribosomal RNA
Source: RNAcentral